CAGCUGAACAGGUCCGUCGGGAAAUCUGCUCGCUCAACGAGCAGGCGUCCGGCGGAAACCAGUCAGCUUGGGAUCGGAAGACCCGAGGGGUACGUCUGGGGUAGGAGUGAAAUCCCGUAAUCCUGGACGGACCACCGGUGGCGAAAGCGCCUCGGGAAGACGAAUCCGACGGUGAGGGACGAAAGCUAGGGUCACGAACCGGAUUAGAUACCCGGGUAGUCCUAGCCGUAAACGAUGCUCACUAGGUGUGGCACUGGCUACGAGCCAGUGCUGUGCCGUAGGGAAGCCGUGAAGUGAGCCGCCUGGGAA
This 309-nucleotide ribosomal RNA is filed under the name uncultured archaeon. RNAcentral describes it as "bacterial SSU rRNA". It matches the Rfam family "Archaeal small subunit ribosomal RNA", at positions 526 to 834 of the family's 1478-position model. The record is from RNAcentral.